CUUCCUUGGAUCUGGAUGUGAUCCUGGGACAGCUCCCUCCAUACAUACAUUAGGAUGGAGCCUAUGUGUCUUCCGGUCGUCUCCUCCCCCCUAUGGUCCACACUUGUGACUCCCGGAACGGGGGUUUCUCUUGCUAUGGGGGUCUUCGGAUCAUUUUUACUUCUCAGCAACCUUCUCUGAUUACAUAUUAAUUCAUUAACCCUUGAGUGAGUACAAUUCCCCUGAAGAAGACCGUGACAGUUUAGGUCGAAACGCGUCGGGGUACUCAUAUGGAAACAAUUGAAUCAUGAUGUAACGUGUAUUGUAUUGUUGUUGAUUUUUGCCACUGUUAUUUUUAUUUUCAUGUAUAAUCAGAGUGUACUAUAUGUAUAUUAUCUACAUUAUUUUACAAAUGCUCCAACCAUGUUGUACAUUUUAUUGUAAUUCAAUGUUGAAACCAAGUAAAGAUUUUAACUUCAAUAUCA
Molecule: long non-coding RNA, 464 nt
Organism: Rana temporaria (common frog)
Lineage: Eukaryota; Metazoa; Chordata; Amphibia; Anura; Ranidae
Exons: 3
Source: RefSeq, a predicted model, not a curated record